RNAcentral lists this ribosomal RNA (759 nucleotides) under uncultured bacterium. RNAcentral's name for it is "bacterial SSU rRNA". It matches the Rfam family "Bacterial small subunit ribosomal RNA", at positions 55 to 788 of the family's 1533-position model. The record is from RNAcentral.
AUGCAAGUCGAACGAGAAAGUUUUCUUCGGAAAACGAGUAAAGUGGCGCACGGGUGAGUAACGCGUGAAUAAUCUACCCCUGAAUUUGGGAUAACAGUUCGAAAGGGCUGCUAAUACCGGAUGACAUUCUUCUUACCACGGUUUGAAGAAUCAAAGAGGGCCUCUCCUUGGAAGCUCUUGUUUGGGGAUGAGUUCGCGUCCCAUUAGCUUGUUGGUGGGGUAACGGCCUACCAAGGCAACGAUGGGUAGCUGGUCUGAGAGGAUGAUCAGCCACACUGGAACUGACACACGGUCCAGACUCCUACGGGAGGCAGCAGUGAGGAAUUUUGCGCAAUGGGGGAAACCCUGACGCAGCAACGCCGCGUGAGUGAUGAAGGCUCUUGGGUCGUAAAGCUCUGUCAAGUGGGAAGAAACCUUCCAUGAUUAAUACUUAUGGGAAUUGACGGUACCACUGAAGGAAGCACCGGCUAACUCCGUGCCAGCAGCCGCGGUAACACGGGGGGUGCAAGCGUUAUUCGGAAUUAUUGGGCGUAAAGGGCGCGUAGGCGGCCAUUUAAGUCGGGUGUGAAAUCCCGGGGCUUAACCCCGGAACUGCAUCCGAUACUGGGUGGCUUGAGUAUGGGAGAGGGAAGUGGAAUUCCAGGUGUAGAGGUGAAAUUCGUAGAUAUCUGGAGGAACACCAGUGGCGAAGGCGACUUCCCGGACCAAUACUGACGCUGAGGCGCGAAGGCGUGGGGAGCAAACAGGAUUAGAUACCCU